UUAUAAUUAAUUAUUUAUUUAUUUAUUUAUUGGUCAGAGUGAAGCAUUAAUUAUUAAAUAAUUAAUUAAUUAAUAGAAAAGUUUUAAAUAUUAUUUCUGUGUUUUCGUAUUUUUUUCACUUUUUCAAUUUCGUACCUGUGGUUUAAAGUGUAUUAAUUAAGUAUCCCGUGAUUUCAUUUUUCUUUUUUUAUUAUCUCUUUCGCUAAGUUUUUUCGUUAAAUUAGUGGUAAAGUUAAAACUAAAAAGUACUAAAGUGAAUAUUCGAUAAACCUAAGUUGGGUAUCUGAAGUUUUUUGUAUAUAAUUUAACGAAAUAUUAACGAAAAAGCUAACGAAAAGAGAAAAAUAAAAUCACAUGUUACUAAGUUGAUGCACUUUAAACUGCAGGAUACUAAAGUGAAAAGUAUUUGAAGUUCGCCGUUAAUUAAUUAAUUAAUAUAAAGACGACAUUAAAUAAAAAGUAAAUAAUAA
This 470-nucleotide long non-coding RNA is filed under the name Ananas comosus (pineapple). Its description in RNAcentral is "long non-coding RNA (ACOM_LNC030083)". Lineage: Eukaryota; Viridiplantae; Streptophyta; Magnoliopsida; Poales; Bromeliaceae. The record is from RNAcentral.